This 694-nucleotide ribosomal RNA is filed under the name uncultured bacterium. RNAcentral describes it as "bacterial SSU rRNA". It matches the Rfam family "Bacterial small subunit ribosomal RNA", at positions 33 to 773 of the family's 1533-position model. The record is from RNAcentral.
ACGCUGGCGGCAGGCCUAACACAUGCAAGCCGAACGGACCCUUCGGGGUUAGUGGCGGACGGGUGAGUAACACGUGGGAACGUGCCUUUAGGUUCGGAAUAGCUCCUGGAAACGGGUGGUAAUGCCGAAUGUGCCCUUCGGGGGAAAGAUUUAUCGCCUUUAGAGCGGCCCGCGUCUGAUUAGCUAGUUGGUGAGGUAAAGGCUCACCAAGGCGACGAUCAGUAGCUGGUCUGAGAGGAUGACCAGCCACAUUGGGACUGAGACACGGCCCAAACUCCUACGGGAGGCAGCAGUGGGGAAUCUUGCGCAAUGGGCGAAAGCCUGACGCAGCCAUGCCGCGUGAAUGAUGAAGGUCUUAGGAUUGUAAAAUUCUUUCACCGGGGACGAUAAUGACGGUACCCGGAGAAGAAGCCCCGGCUAACUUCGUGCCAGCAGCCGCGGUAAUACGAAGGGGGCUAGCGUUGCUCGGAAUUACUGGGCGUAAAGGGAGCGUAGGCGGACAUUUAAGUCAGGGGUGAAAUCCCAGAGCUCAACUCUGGAACUGCCUUUGAUACUGGGUGUCUUGAGUGUGAUAGAGGUAUGUGGAACUCCGAGUGUAGAGGUGAAAUUCGUAGAUAUUCGGAAGAACACCAGUGGCGAAGGCGACAUACUGGAUCAUUACUGACGCUGAGGCUUGAAGGCGUGGGGAGCAAAC